Molecule: long non-coding RNA, 332 nt
Filed under: Mytilus galloprovincialis (Mediterranean mussel)
Lineage: Eukaryota; Metazoa; Mollusca; Bivalvia; Mytilida; Mytilidae
Source: RNAcentral
GGUAUUGGAAAUGUGAAAGUAGAAUAAUGUGGCAUCAUCUUUUUGUUUUUUUUUUGAAUUUUCUUUUUUCAUUAUGUCAGCAUAUUAUUUCGUUUUGAUCAAUGCGCUGGAGUUUUGUUUCAUGAAAGGUUAAUUAUGGUGCACGUAAUUAUUUACUAUAUAUAUAUGUACUAAUAUUGCGCAAGAUCAAAUCAUUGUUCGAUCUUACCAAUAACUUAAGGUGACAGUUUAAAUACCUUCCUAUAAAGUGCAUACGAACAGAUUUUUUGAGGUGUACGAACGGUUUCAAUAUUAGUUGCUAUUUUGCCGCAACUACAUGAUGUAUUUGUUUU